AUACGGAAGGUGCAAGCGUUAUCCGGAAUCACUGGGUUUAAAGGGUGCGUAGGCGGUUGCGUAAGUCAGAAGUGAAAGCUCACAGCUUAACUGUGGAAUUGCUUUUGAUACUGCGUAACUAGAAUCAGGUUGAGGUUGGCGGAAUGUGACAUGUAGAGGUGAAAUUCGUAGAUAUUCGGUGGAACACCAGUGGCGAAGGCGACUGACUGGACUAUUUCUGACGCUGAGGUGCGAAAGUGUGGGGAGCAAACAGGAUUAGAUACCCUGGUAGUCCACACCGUAAACGAUGAGAGCUAGUUGUCAGCAAGCAUGCUUGUUGGUGACGCAGCUAACGCAUUAAGCUCUCCGCCUGGGGAGUACGGUCGCAAGAUUAAACUCAAAGAAAUUGACGGGGGCCCACACAAGCGGUGGAGCAUGUGGUUUAAUUCGAAGCAACGCGCAGAACCUUACCCACCUUUGACAUCCUGU
This 468-nucleotide ribosomal RNA is filed under the name uncultured Hirschia sp. RNAcentral's name for it is "bacterial SSU rRNA". It matches the Rfam family "Bacterial small subunit ribosomal RNA", at positions 523 to 992 of the family's 1533-position model. Lineage: Bacteria; Pseudomonadati; Pseudomonadota; Alphaproteobacteria; Hyphomonadales; Hyphomonadaceae. The record is from RNAcentral.